This 860-nucleotide ribosomal RNA is filed under the name uncultured bacterium. Its description in RNAcentral is "bacterial SSU rRNA". It matches the Rfam family "Bacterial small subunit ribosomal RNA", at positions 28 to 896 of the family's 1533-position model. The record is from RNAcentral.
GAUGAACGCUGGCGGCGUACCUAACGCAUGCAAGUCGAACGGAGAAAUUCUUUGUAGCGAUACGGAGGAUUUUUGAGUGGCAAACGGGUGAAUAACACGUGGGUAAUCUACCUUGGAGUGGGGAAUAACGGCUCGAAAGGGUCGCUAAUACCGCAUGAGUUCUUUUGUGCGCGAGUGCGGAAGAAGAAAGACGCAAGUCGCUCUGGGAGGAGCCUGCGGCCGAUCAGGUAGUUGGUGAGGUAACGGCUCACCAAGCCGACGACCGGUAGCUGAUCUGAGAGGAUGACCAGCCACACUGGCACCGAGACACGGGCCAGACUCCUACGGGAGGCAGCAGCGAGGAAUAUUGCGCAAUGGGCGAAAGCCUGACGCAGUAACGCCGCGUGGGGGAAGAAGACCUUCGGGUUGUAAACCUCUUUUUGUAGAGACGAGGGAGGACGGUAUCUAUAGAAUAAGUCUCGGCUAACUACGUGCCAGCAGCCGCGGUAAGACGUAGGAGGCGAGCGUUAUCCGGAAUCACUGGGCGUAAAGGGCAUGUAGGCGGUUGCGCAAGUCGUGUGUUAAAGCCCCUGGCUCAACUAGGGGAGGUCAUGCGAGACUGUGCGGCUAGAGGGCAGGAGAGGCACGUGGAACUCCCGGUGUAGCGGUGGAAUGCGUAGAGAUCGGGAAGAACAUCAGUGGCGAAGGCGACGUGCUGGGCUGCACCUGACGCUGAGAUGCGAAAGUGUGGGGAGCAAACGGGAUUAGAUACCCCGGUAGUCCACACCCUAAACGAUGAACACUAGGUGUGGGAGGGAAAACCUUCCGUGCCGAAGCCAACGCGUUAAGUGUUCCGCCUGGGGACUAUGAGCGCAAGCUUA